This 77-nucleotide transfer RNA is filed under the name Oscillospiraceae bacterium. RNAcentral describes it as "tRNA-Arg". It matches the Rfam family "tRNA". Rfam says of the family: Transfer RNA (tRNA) molecules are approximately 80 nucleotides in length. Lineage: Bacteria; Bacillati; Bacillota; Clostridia; Eubacteriales; Oscillospiraceae. The record is from RNAcentral.
GCGUCUGUAGCUCAGUUGGAUAGAGCGUCAGACUCCGACUCUGAAGGCCGCUGGUUCGAUUCCAGUCAGGCGCACCA